Molecule: ribosomal RNA, 253 nt
Filed under: uncultured bacterium
Lineage: Bacteria
Description: partial 16S ribosomal RNA
Rfam family: Bacterial small subunit ribosomal RNA
Source: RNAcentral
UACGGGGGGGGCAAGCGUUAUUCGGAAUUAUUGGGCGUAAAGGGCGCGUAGGCGGCUUGGCAAGUGGAAGGUGAAAUCCCUCGGCUCAACCGAGGAACUGCCUUCUAAACUGCUUUGAUUGAGUCCGGGAGAGGUCAGUGGAAUUCCCAGUGUAGCGGUGAAAUGCGUAGAUAUUGGGAGGAACACCAGUGGCGAAGGCGGCUGACUGGACCGGUACUGACGCUGAGGCGCGAAAGCGUGGGGAGCAAACGGG